Molecule: ribosomal RNA, 497 nt
Filed under: uncultured bacterium
Lineage: Bacteria
Description: partial 16S ribosomal RNA
Rfam family: Bacterial small subunit ribosomal RNA
Source: RNAcentral
GAUGAACGCUGGCGGCGUGCCUAAUACAUGCCAGUCGAGCGAACAGACGAGGAGCUUGCUCCUCUGACGUUAGCGGCGGACGGGUGAGUAACACGUGGAUAACCUACCUAUAAGACUGGGAUAACUUCGGGAAACCGGAGCUAAUACCGGAUAAUAUAUUGAACCGCAUGGUUCAAUAGUGAAAGACGGUUUUGCUGUCACUUAUAGAUGGAUCCGCGCCGCAUUAGCUAGUUGGUAAGGUAACGGCUUACCAAGGCAACGAUGCGUAGCCGACCUGAGAGGGUGAUCGGCCACACUGGAACUGAGACACGGUCCAGACUCCUACGGGAGGCAGCAGUAGCGAAUCUUCCGCAAUGGGCGAAAGCUUGACGGAGCAACGCCGCGUGAGUGAUGAAGGUCUUCGGAUCGUAAAACUCUGUUAUUAGGGAAGAACAAAUGUGUAAGUAACUAUGCACGUCUUGACGGUACCUAAUCAGAAAGCCACGGCUAACUACGUG